Molecule: ribosomal RNA, 239 nt
Filed under: uncultured Lactobacillus sp.
Lineage: Bacteria; Bacillati; Bacillota; Bacilli; Lactobacillales; Lactobacillaceae
Description: partial 16S ribosomal RNA
Rfam family: Bacterial small subunit ribosomal RNA
Source: RNAcentral
CCGUAGCCCAAGAGAUCGGGAUAACACCUGGAAACAGAUGCUAAUACCGGAUAACAACAGAUGAUGCCUAUCAACUGUUUAAAAGAUGGUUCUGCUGUCACUCUUGGAUGGACCUGCGGUGCAUUAGCUAGUUGGUAGGGUAACGGCCUACCAAGGCGAUGAUGCAUAGCCGAGUUGAGAGACUGAUCGGCCACAUUGGGACUGAGACACGGCCCAAACUCCUACGGGAGGCAGCAGCU